RNAcentral lists this ribosomal RNA (440 nucleotides) under uncultured bacterium. Its description in RNAcentral is "partial 16S ribosomal RNA". It matches the Rfam family "Bacterial small subunit ribosomal RNA", at positions 338 to 795 of the family's 1533-position model. The record is from RNAcentral.
CCUACGGGUGGCAGCAGUGGGGGAUAUUGGGCAAUGGGGGCAACCCUGAUGCAGCCACGCCGCGUGGGUGAAGAAGCUCCUCGGCUCGUAAAGCCCUUUCAGCCGUGACGAAAAUGACGGUAGCGUCUAAAGAAGCCCCGGCUAACUACGUGCCAGCAGCCGCGGUAAUACGAAGGGGGCAAGCGUUGUUCGGAUUUACUGGGCGUAAAGGGAGGGCAGGCGGCGAUGGAAGCGAGCGGUGAAAUCCCGGGGCCCAACCCCGGGACUGCCCUUAGAACUGUGUGGCUAGAGUGAGGGAGAGGCAUGCGGAAUACCCGGUGUAGCGGUGAAAUGCGUAGAUAUCAGGAAGAACACCGGUGGCGAAGGCGGCCUGCUGGACAGCAACUGACGUUGAGGCCCGAAAGCGUGGGGAGCAAACAGGAUUAGAUACCCUUGUAGUC